AGAGUUUGAUCAUGGCUCAGAUUGAACGCUGGCGGCAUGCCUAACACAUGCAAGUCGAACGGCAGCAUGAGGUGUAGCAAUACACCUUGAUGGCGAGUGGCGGACGGGUGAGGAAUGCAUCGGAAUCUGCCCAAUCGUGGGGGACAACGCAGGGAAACUUGCGCUAAUACCGCAUACGACCUUCGGGUGAAAGCAGGGGAUCUUCGGACCUUGCGCGAUUGGAUGAGCCGAUGCCGGAUUAGCUAGUUGGCGGGGUAAAAGCCCACCAAGGCGACGAUCCGUAGCUGGUCUGAGAGGAUGAUCAGCCACACUGGGACUGAGACACGGCCCAGACUCCUACGGGAGGCAGCAGUGGGGAAUAUUGGACAAUGGGGGCAACCCUGAUCCAGCAAUGCCGCGUGUGUGAAGAAGGCCUUCGGGUUGUAAAGCACUUUUAUCGGGAACGAAACAUUGUCGGUUAAUACCCGGCAAGACUGACGGUACCCGAGGAAUAAGCACCGGCUAACUCCGUGCCAGCAGCCGCGGUAAUAC
Molecule: ribosomal RNA, 531 nt
Filed under: uncultured bacterium
Lineage: Bacteria
Description: bacterial SSU rRNA
Rfam family: Bacterial small subunit ribosomal RNA
Source: RNAcentral